AACGAACGCUGGCGGCAUGCCUAACACAUGCAAGUCGAACGAGACCUUCGGGUCUAGUGGCGCACGGGUGCGUAACGCGUGGGAACCUGCCCUUAGGUUCGGAAUAACUCCCCGAAAGGGGUGCUAAUACCGGAUAAUGUCUUCGGACCAAAGAUUUAUCGCCUUUGGAUGGGCCCGCGUUGGAUUAGCUAGUUGGUAGGGUAAAAGCCUACCAAGGCGACGAUCCAUAGCUGGUCGGAGAGGAUGAUCAGCCACACUGGGACUGCGACCCGGCCCAGACUCCUACGGGAGGGAGCAGUGUGGAAUAUUGGACAAUGGGCGAUAGCCUGAUCCCGCAACGCCGCGUGAGUGAUGAAGGCCUUAGUGUUGUAAAGCUCUUUUACCCGGGAUGAUAAUGACAGUACCGGGAGAAUAAGCACCGGCUAACUCCGUG
Molecule: ribosomal RNA, 433 nt
Filed under: uncultured bacterium
Lineage: Bacteria
Description: partial 16S ribosomal RNA
Rfam family: Bacterial small subunit ribosomal RNA
Source: RNAcentral